Molecule: ribosomal RNA, 1550 nt
Filed under: Salmonella enterica
Lineage: Bacteria; Pseudomonadati; Pseudomonadota; Gammaproteobacteria; Enterobacterales; Enterobacteriaceae
Description: partial 23S ribosomal RNA
Rfam family: Bacterial large subunit ribosomal RNA
Source: RNAcentral
GCGUAGUCGAUGGGAAACGGGUUAAUAUUCCCGUACUUGGUGUUACUGCGAAGGGGGGACGGAGAAGGCUAUGUUGGCCGGGCGACGGUUGUCCCGGUUUAAGCGUGUAGGUGUGUGUUCCAGGUAAAUCCGGUUCACUUUAACACUGAGGCGUGACGACGAGGCACUACGGUGCUGAAGCAACAAAUGCCCUGCUUCCAGGAAAAGCCUCUAAGCAUCAGGUAACAUCAAAUCGUACCCCAAACCGACACAGGUGGUCAGGUAGAGAAUACCAAGGCGCUUGAGAGAACUCGGGUGAAGGAACUAGGCAAAAUGGUGCCGUAACUUCGGGAGAAGGCACGCUGACACGUAGGUGAAGUGAUUUACUCAUGGAGCUGAAGUCAGUCGAAGAUACCAGCUGGCUGCAACUGUUUAUUAAAAACACAGCACUGUGCAAACACGAAAGUGGACGUAUACGGUGUGACGCCUGCCCGGUGCCGGAAGGUUAAUUGAUGGGGUCAGCGCAAGCGAAGCUCCUGAUCGAAGCCCCGGUAAACGGCGGCCGUAACUAUAACGGUCCUAAGGUAGCGAAAUUCCUUGUCGGGUAAGUUCCGACCUGCACGAAUGGCGUAAUGAUGGCCAGGCUGUCUCCACCCGAGACUCAGUGAAAUUGAACUCGCUGUGAAGAUGCAGUGUACCCGCGGCAAGACGGAAAGACCCCGUGAACCUUUACUAUAGCUUGACACUGAACAUUGAGCCUUGAUGUGUAGGAUAGGUGGGAGGCUUUGAAGUGUGGACGCCAGUCUGCAUGGAGCCGACCUUGAAAUACCACCCUUUAAUGUUUGAUGUUCUAACGUGGACCCGUUACCCGGGUUGCGGACAGUGUCUGGUGGGUAGUUUGACUGGGGCGGUCUCCUCCUAAAGAGUAACGGAGGAGCACGAAGGUUGGCUAAUCCUGGUCGGACAUCAGGAGGUUAGUGCAAUGGCAUAAGCCAGCUUGACUGCGAGCGUGACGGCGCGAGCAGGUGCGAAAGCAGGUCAUAGUGAUCCGGUGGUUCUGAAUGGAAGGGCCAUCGCUCAACGGAUAAAAGGUACUCCGGGGAUAACAGGCUGAUACCGCCCAAGAGUUCAUAUCGACGGCGGUGUUUGGCACCUCGAUGUCGGCUCAUCACAUCCUGGGGCUGAAGUAGGUCCCAAGGGUAUGGCUGUUCGCCAUUUAAAGUGGUACGCGAGCUGGGUUUAGAACGUCGUGAGACAGUUCGGUCCCUAUCUGCCGUGGGCGCUGGAGAACUGAGGGGGGCUGCUCCUAGUACGAGAGGACCGGAGUGGACGCAUCACUGGUGUUCGGGUUGUCAUGCCAAUGGCACUGCCCGGUAGCUAAAUGCGGAAGAGAUAAGUGCUGAAAGCAUCUAAGCACGAAACUUGCCCCGAGAUGAGUUCUCCCUGAGACUUAGAGUCUCCUGAAGGAACGUUGAAGACGACGACGUUGAUAGGCCGGGUGUGUAAGCGCAGCGAUGCGUUGAGCUAACCGGUACUAAUGAACCGUGAGGCUUAACCUUACAACGCCGAAG